GCUGGGCAUGGUGGUGCAUGCCUGUAAUCCCAGCUGUUUGGGAGGCUGAGGCAAGAGGAUCUUGAGUUCAAAGCCAGCCCCAGCAAAAGCCAGGUGCUAAGCAACUCAGUGAGACCCUGUCUCUA
RNAcentral lists this small RNA (125 nucleotides) under Marmota monax (woodchuck). The record is from RNAcentral. Lineage: Eukaryota; Metazoa; Chordata; Mammalia; Rodentia; Sciuridae.